CCUACGGGAGGCAGCAGUGAGGAAUAUUGGUCAAUGGACGCAAGUCUGAACCAGCCAUGCCGCGUGCAGGAAGACGGCUCUAUGAGUUGUAAACUUCUUUUGUACGGGGGUAAACGCAGAUGCGCGUAUCUUUCUGAAAGUAUCGUAAGAAUAAGGAUCGGCAAACCCCGUGCCCGCAGCCGCGGUAAUACGGAGGAUUCAAGCGUUAUCCGGAUUUAUUGGGUUAAAAGGGUGCGUAGGCGGAAUGCAAAGUCAGCGGUACAAGCGCGGGGCUCAACCUCGUUCUGCCUUUGAAACUGGCGUUCUGGAGUGGGAGAGAGGUAUGCGGAAUGCGUGGUGUAGCGGUGAAAUGCAUAGAUAUCACGAAGAACUCCGAUUGCGAAGGCAGCAUACCGGCGUCUAACUGACGCUGAAGCACGAAAGCGUGGGUAUCGAACAGGAUUAGAUACCCCUGUAGUC
Molecule: ribosomal RNA, 459 nt
Filed under: uncultured bacterium
Lineage: Bacteria
Description: partial 16S ribosomal RNA
Rfam family: Bacterial small subunit ribosomal RNA
Source: RNAcentral